GGUCUCGUUAAAGUCACCACACAGAGAGCUCUGGGGCAGCCACCCCCUCCGGAGCCCUCAGCCAGCUCCAUGGUUCCCAUCCCAGCUUCUAGCCCCCCAGCCAAUGCCACCGCACCUCCCCUACGUUGGGGACCCCUGCGGCGGGUGCUGAGUUUUUCCUGGGAGCUUCAUGUUUAUGGGGUGGGAGUGCUUUUCCUGCUUCCAGCAUUGUUGGCAUUGGUCACACUGGCAGCCGCCCUAGCGGGACCCCGAUUGGCAUUAGUGGCUGCCGUGCUGGUGUUGGUGGCUUCAGGGCUCCGAUCUGCCUACAUGCUCACGGAUCCUUAUGGCUCUCAGGCCCGGCUGGGAGUACGUGCAGGUCUGGUGCUAUACAACUUGCCCUUCCCCUUGCUACUCACUGCUCUGGC
This 407-nucleotide long non-coding RNA is filed under the name Rattus norvegicus (Norway rat). RNAcentral describes it as "long non-coding RNA NONRATT021708". The record is from RNAcentral. Lineage: Eukaryota; Metazoa; Chordata; Mammalia; Rodentia; Muridae.